AACGAACGCUGGCGGCAUGCCUAACACAUGCAAGUCGAACGAAGCCUUCGGGCUUAGUGGCGCACGGGUGCGUAACGCGUGGGAAUCUGCCCUUGGGUUCGGAAUAACAGUUAGAAAUGACUGCUAAUACCGGAUGAUGUCUUCGGACCAAAGAUUUAUCGCCCAAGGAUGAGCCCGCGUAGGAUUAGGUAGUUGGUGGGGUAAUGGCCCACCAAGCCGACGAUCCUUAGCUGGUCUGAGAGGAUGAUCGGCCACACUGGGACUGAGACACGGCCCAGACUACUACGGGAGGCAGCAGUGGGGAAUAUUGGACAAUGGGCGAAAGCCUGAUCCAGCAAUGCCGCGUGAGUGAUGAAGGCCUUAGGGUUGUAAAGCUCUUUUACCAGGGAUGAUAAUGACAGUACCUGGAGAAUAAGCUCCGGCUAACUCCGUGCCAGCCGCCGCAGUAA
RNAcentral lists this ribosomal RNA (449 nucleotides) under uncultured bacterium. RNAcentral describes it as "partial 16S ribosomal RNA". It matches the Rfam family "Bacterial small subunit ribosomal RNA", at positions 29 to 523 of the family's 1533-position model. The record is from RNAcentral.